CUUGCAAGUGGAUAUGCAUGUCUCCCGUCUCUGUCAUCUCAUUACAAUUUGUGAGUUUAGACGGUUUAGACAUAUGUAUUAUUUAUGUAUGUGUGAAUGAUGGUUAUCAUAUAACAGCAACAGGAUGUGGGUUUUUCUGCACCUUAGGUACAGUGCUAUCUUUUCUCGGACUUCACUUUCCAUUUUCUGUUGAGCAUUUGUCUAUGGUGAAGUAGAAAAACACAGUCAACACACCCUAAAAGACGACACAAGUUGAAACAAGGGGGGAUCUGUGCACCAUACAAAGAUCUUGUGUGUUGGACUACAGCAAAAAAACAUCAUCAAACUUCCCUCAGAAGAUGGCUAGUCUUUUGUUAAAGGAAUGUCUUGCAUUUCUGAAACGGAGUCAUGUUUUCAUCCAAUUUCCAUUGAGUGCUUUACUAUUUGGAUUAGAGGAGAUCGUUGAAAUCCACUUUACAUGCCCGUGCAAUGUUAAGAUGAAUUAUUAUUUAGUGCUGACAAUGUUCUUGGGACCUUUUUUGUUUAUUUUUGCUUUAAUGUUCUUGUUUUAUCGGCCUUUUAAACAUGGGUAUUUGCAUUGUGCUAAGAAAGCAAAUGGAGAAACUUUAAAUGAAAGUCAGCAGAGCUGUCCUAAAUCUCUUGGAUAUUGUCUGAUUGCACCUGUAAUGUGGGUCAUCAUCUUGUUUCUUGAUGGAGAUUACUUUGUUUGUUAUCGUACAGACUGGAAUGGACAUUAUGUUUUUGAUGAGAAGCUCAACAGGUCUUGGUGUAAACCUACUGAGGGGAUGCGAACUGAGAUAGAGCUACGCAGUUUGACUAACCAUAAUCUUCAUUAUUCUCGGUAUAUAGGUUACAUCUUGAUGAGUGUCCUCGGUAGUUUUCUGGUAACCACAGUGGGUCUUUAUGACUGCUGCAUAACUGGAAAAUGUGACUGGUGCCCAAGUUGUAUAUUAAUAACGUGUGGACGAACAGAUCCAGAGCAGGGGAAUCAGACACAGAGUGGUAAUGAAACAGUGAGUCCAAGCCCUGAGAAUAGCCCUCCGGAACAGAACGUGAUCCCAAUGUUGGCCUUAAGCUCUGACCAAUCCCAGAAGCCCAGCAUCCCUAGCAACGUCCCUGAUCCUGAGACAGAGAAUAGACAAGGUGAAGGACCAGCUGAACCAACAGGUGAAACAUCGACUGAACCAACAGGUGAAACACCGACUGAACCAACAGGUGAAACAUCGACUGAACCAACAGGUGAAACAUCGACUGAACCAGCAGAGACUGACCAAUUAAUCAAAAACAAAAAAAAAAGUCCAUAA
Molecule: long non-coding RNA, 1304 nt
Organism: Cyprinus carpio (common carp)
Lineage: Eukaryota; Metazoa; Chordata; Actinopteri; Cypriniformes; Cyprinidae
Source: Ensembl